UGGGGAAUAUUGCACAAUGGGCGCAAGCCUGAUGCAGCCAUGCCGCGUGUGUGAAGAAGGCCUUCGGGUUGUAAAGCACUUUCAGCGAGGAGGAAGGGUAGUGUGUUAAUAGCACAUUGCAUUGACGUUACUCGCAGAAGAAGCACCGGCUAACUCCGUGCCAGCAGCCGCGGUAAUACGGAGGGUGCAAGCGUUAAUCGGAAUUACUGGGCGUAAAGCGCACGCAGGCGGUUUGUUAAGUCAGAUGUGAAAACCCCGCGCUUAACGUGGGAACUGCAUUUGAAACUGGCAAGCUAGAGUCUUGUAGAGGGGGGUAGAAUUCCAGGUGUAGCGGUGAAAUGCGUAGAGAUCUGGAGGAAUACCGGUGGCGAAGGCGGCCCCCUGGACAAAGACUGACGCUCAGGUGCGAAAGCGUGGGGAGCAAACA
Molecule: ribosomal RNA, 427 nt
Filed under: uncultured bacterium
Lineage: Bacteria
Description: partial 16S ribosomal RNA
Rfam family: Bacterial small subunit ribosomal RNA
Source: RNAcentral